This 229-nucleotide ribosomal RNA is filed under the name uncultured bacterium. Its description in RNAcentral is "partial 16S ribosomal RNA". It matches the Rfam family "Bacterial small subunit ribosomal RNA", at positions 118 to 347 of the family's 1533-position model. The record is from RNAcentral.
UGGGCAACCUGCCCCAGACACAGGGAUAACCCCGGGAAACCGGGGCUAAUACCGGAUACUCCGGUCGAACCGCAUGGCUCGAUCGGGAAAGCUCCGACGGUCUGGGAUGGGCCCGCGGCCUAUCAGCUUGUUGGUGGGGUAACGGCCUACCAAGGCGACGACGGGUAGCUGGUCUGAGAGGACGAUCAGCCACACUGGGACUGAGACACGGCCCAGACUCCUACGGGAG